AACGAACGCUGGCGGCAGGCCUAAUACAUGCAAGUCGAACGGGCGUAGCAAUACGUCAGUGGCGGACGGGUGAGUAACACGUGGGAACAUGCCUUUCGGUUCGGAAUAACGCAGGGAAACUUGCGCUAAUACCGGAUGACCCGGCGACGGAAAAGAUUUAUCGCCGAAAGAUUGGCCCGCGUAGGAUUAGCUAGUUGGUGAGGUAACGGCCCACCAAGGCGACGAUCCUUAGCUGGUUUGAGAGAACGAUCAGCCACACUGGGACUGAGACACGGCCCAGACUCCUACGGGAGGCAGCAGUAGGGAAUCUUGCGCAAUGGGCGAAAGCCUGACGCAGCGACGCCGCGUGAGGGAUGACGG
This 360-nucleotide ribosomal RNA is filed under the name uncultured bacterium. RNAcentral's name for it is "bacterial SSU rRNA". It matches the Rfam family "Bacterial small subunit ribosomal RNA", at positions 29 to 414 of the family's 1533-position model. The record is from RNAcentral.